Non-coding RNA from Punica granatum (pomegranate), 133 nucleotides. The record is from Rfam. Lineage: Eukaryota; Viridiplantae; Streptophyta; Magnoliopsida; Myrtales; Lythraceae.
GAAAGGAGAGCCUAUCUAGUUAGCCAAAGGACACUGCCUGAAAUCGAGCUAAGUCCUUGGACAUUUGCCUCGAGAACUAUAAGUUCAACGAGGCAGGCAAGUCAUCCUUGGCUACUAAAUGAGGCUCUCACCC